AUGAUGGGAGGUGGGUCCAGGGUGAGAAUCCAGUGGGUAAAGGGAAAAGUGGUGUAAGGGAGGAGUAAUACAGGGCAGGGGCCGAUAAGGUAGGAUGGGUGGAACAGUGCAGUGAACAUAAACCAGUGGGGGGGGCGGGGGGGUACAGGGAUACAAGAACUUUCCAGAGCUGGGAGGAGACAAGGGAUGACAUAACUGGGAAUAGAGGCAACCAAUGGGAAAUGAGGGUUAUAAAGCUUUACCUUAAAGCUUUGCCAUAAAGAAUUUUUAAAACCUUUGACAACCUUCUUAGGAGCUAUUCUAAACUUAAACAAAUGCCCUCCAAGGUCUGGGGCCAUGGGCCAACUCCUCACCCAAAACACUGGUCUGGCUUGGCAUGUCAGUCAGUCCGAUUCCUACACUGGGCCUCUGCAUGAUAUUCGCCCAGAAGCUGCCUUUCAAGGACUGAAGUGGAACAAAAAGUAUAAAAGAAAUGUCAUUCCCAGAGGGAAAACAGUUUCAUUUCUCUUGUGUCUACUUUUUUUUUUUUUUUUAACAGUUACCUCAAAAUUCCCGGAUCCAGAACAGCUACUCUGAGUUUUGGUAGAGAUUCCAAAGCGGGAUACAGUAGGUUUCAAAGUACACCUUGGAAAAUCAAUCGUUUGUCUGCAGCAUGCAGCAUGUAGGUGUGAUGUCUGUAACUGGUCUUAGUUGAUGCAGAGGUACUUGGAAAAAAACGUUUAAUCUUUCAUCUCUCCCCACCUGCAUUCUUCCUAAGUGUACUUUUUAUUCAGCAGGACUCGGAUGAGAGAGAGAGAGAGAGAGAGAGGGAGGAACUCUCUUCACAUCAGCGUCAAAGGAAAAAGUGUUCAGCGACUUACAGUCCAGGUGACUGUUCUGUGUAAAAGCAGGAUUGUUUUGCCAUCAGACCUUGCGUGCCGUACCAGUCUGUGCGUUAACAGGUGCCUAAGAAAGGUCAAAAGGGAAUAACUCCAUGUCGUUCACUCGUGUGAAUCUUGGUGGGGAGCAGAGGCGAGAGUGAACUGCAGUGAGGGGGAGGUUACUGAAGCCCCAGUUUGUUUCCAGCGAGCGUGGUGUUGUGGUGUUCAAAGCUACAGGUGCCUGCUGGCCUGGAGCUGGAUACUUCUGCCUCUGCUUUCUUUGGGGGUUGAUGAUUCCUUAUGUUUAUGUUGGUGUGCCAGCAUCUUAGAUACUGACGACUCUUUCUCCUCUCAGUGUCUUCUCCCAUGUGCUUAUUUAGCUGCUUAGCUAAAGGAUUUGUCUAAUGGUAGUUAAGGAAUUCAGGUGCAGACUCCAACAGGACAGUCGUAGCUGCAGAUGAAUCUCUUUAAUGCUAUCAUCGAACCCCAGCAUGGUUAUUGCUCCCAGUUUUCCUUGUGGAAAUGUGAAACAGGAAUUCAUGGGUUCUUCCUGCAUGACUGAAGGUGUGUCCCACAGGAUGCUUUUGUGCAAGCAUAGGAGGAUGUACAGCAAACAUUUUUACUGCAGUGUUUUCCCCGUUGCCUGGUUCCAGGAGAGCAGAGCUCACUGUUCGUGCAGCAGACAGGUUUAUCCAAGUGCUGGCUCAGUGGCUCCAUGGUGAAAUCAUGUACUGCCUCUGGGCUUCAGAGUGUCAUGUGCAGAGAUUCGCUUUUAACACGACUUGAGUUAAAAUUCCUCUAAGAACUAAUCAGUCCAAGAUCCAUUCCACUACCGCUUUUUCAUGUUCUUGUUUCACUUUUUCCUGUUUGUGUUUCACAUCAGUUCUUUUCAUCUCUGAUUCCUUCACGGCACUUAGACCCCAUCUUAAUUUCAGGGAAGAUAUUUGGAUGCAAAUGAAGUUUUAAUUGGGAUGCUUUUCUAACUACUCUCCCUCCAGGAGAGCUGCCUCAGCCUGGAUGAGUGUGAGGGUACCCAGCUCUCCUUUAGGGCUGGGAGCACGGCAGGGUGCAGAGCUCAUGGUGAAUCUUGUUUCAACACUGUCAAUACCAAAAGAUGUUAGAACACAGUCCUUGAAGGAAUAACGUACAAAAGUCUACUGCAAGCCUAGGGACAAGCUGUCCUUCUUAAAGAUGUGCACUGAUGGAUGUUUUGUCAAACCCCUCUGGGGACGGAAUGUGUGCCAAAAGCUUGGUUAACCCCUUGUCUUCUGCUGCUAGGGCAGCGUCUUAGCCCAGGUCUCGGGGGCUGUGCGGAGGUUGCUCCCUGGAGCAGGGUCCCCCCGUGAGGAGGAGCCAGAGAUUGGGUCACUGGAGCAGGCGGUGCAGUGAGGAGCAAGUUGCUGGCUUACGUGAUUUCUGAGUGACCUGUCACAGAAACGGGCAUCUGUGUGUGCAGGUGCUUCCUGGCAAAUCCAGAUGUGACGUGGAAAUCCUAAGGGAGGAGUUCCAGCCUUGACCACGCGUGACACAGGCUUGUGGAAAUGGAAAUGGCCUUGGCAGAAGAGCAGCUGUGAGGUGAAGCAGGACUGCAAUACAGGUGCUGCCCAGGGGGGACAUCUGUGGCCUCAGACAGCGAUGGCCUUGGAGCAAGGGGAGCCUUUGCACAGCUCACCUGCAGAGCUCAGGUGGAUGGGACAGGAUUGGUGUGGCCUGAGAAGUCCUGAACAGCUGUGUCUGUGUUCUGCAGUGCCUUGAAACCUUUCUCUGUCAGGUUUUGGAGGGGUUUCUCUUUAGGAUUUCUUGUGAUGCAGCACCCCGGGUGUCCCUUUGUGCAAAGUCCAGUGGUGAAGGAGGAUUGAGUGAGUGACAAGUGGGGUCUGGCAUGAAAAUGGUUCUGUUAAAAUGGAGCAAAGACUGCAAUAAGAAAAACGAGCAUCCCUUUACUGUCUGAAAGGGUUAGGAAUAAAAAUGCUGGAGAAGGGCACUUUUAUAUUUGAAUUGGUGUCACCUGUCUUGGAUCAAGCCCCACAGUGAGCAAUCCAGAUCAGAAGUGUGUAAGCUGGGAUCCUUUGACUUCUGCAGGGGACUUCAUUUUCUUUUCUUCUUCUUCUCUUCCAGGACCGGAGAAAUGGUUGUGGAAUUAUUAGAUGGCUUUUGUUAGAUGCAGGUUUUAUUUUUUCGGAAGUUUUUUUACUGCAGCCCUUUUAAGAUGGUUUUCAAUAAUACAGUGUAUAGUUUUAUAUUGUUUGUAGGUGGCAUAUGAUAAGAGAUGUUGUCUAGUUAAUGCUGUAUCUUUUAGUUUAGGUGUUGAUAAGGUUUUUCUUGAGUUGAGUUUUGUUUUUGUGUGGUUUUUUUUUUUUUUGUGGGGUCUUGUUUCUAAAGGAUGCGUUGCUAAGGUUUCUGAUGGUGUUAGGGGCUGUAGCGUAAAGCAUAGGGCUGGUUUUCAGUUAUUUUGUGAUGGCUUUUAUUAUUGUGAGUAUUCAGUGUUUGUUUUGGGGGUUUGAGGUAAUGUCAUGUAGCUGAUUUAUUUGUUUUUUACUCUUAUAAUUGGGAUAUUAUAUGGGUUAUGUUAUUUAUAUUGGCUUGUUAUUAUAUCAAAGGGGUUUUAUGUGUUUGGUUUGUUUGAUUAGUAGUGUAUGUUUUAUUAGUUUUAUUAUUAUAUCAUUGGGCUUUUGUUUGUUAGCAGUAUAUGUUUUAUACUUGCAGAUAAUACGGGAGAUAUUGUUUAUGGUUAUAUUUAUCUUUUGGUUUUGUGUUUAUCUGUAGGUGGUAUUUGUGUAUUGAUGGUUUGAGACAUAAUGGGUUGAUUGAGCUUGGAGUUAACUUCUUUUGGCGUAGUUAAUUUAGGUUUAUUUGUGCAAUUUUUAUUUUUGGGUUUGAUUGGUUUGUUUGUUGUUUUGGUGUUUUUAUUAUUUUUAUUUUUUGGGAACAUGGAUAUUUAUAGAGUGGAUUAUUUUAGGUAGGUUUUUUUUUUACUGUAGUGUUUUUUUUUUUUUAAUAUUUUAGUGCUUUUAGGUUCUUGUAAUGUUGUCAAUUAGUUUGGGUUUUUAUAUUUCUUUGGUUUUUUUGGAAUGUUUAGGGUCAGUUGCCUUGUUCUGAGUUAAAUAAGAUGGUUUGAUUUAUUUUUUGUAGUAGUUCUUGUGAUUUGUUAUGAGGGUUUCUAUACAGUUUUAUUUCUGUUUCAUAUUUAGGAUGUGAUGGGAAUUGUUAGUGACAAGAGUGUAGUGUGUUUCUUUUUUUAUUGCUGGUAGUGGGUUGUAUGGUGUAGGUUUUGUAUUUUGCAGAGUAUUUUUUGCUUUUAUUUAGUGAGAUCCAAGUUUUUGGUUUUAGGUUCAUUUGUAAUUAUUUUCACCUCUUUGGGGAUUUAGAUUUUUGGUGUGAGUGCCCUGCCUGAUGACAGUAAUUGGUUGAUUUCAUGUGGUAUUGGUGGCAUGGUGGGUAGAGGGCAUUUUUGUUUUGACUAUUAAUUUUAAUAUUGGUAGAUGGGAUAGUAGGAGGAUUUGUGUUUUAGUGUUGAUUGGUUUUGAGGUGGUUUGGAUUUUUUGAUAACUUAAGGUGUUUUGUGAGCUGGUGGAUGUUUUAUGCUCUUGGUAGGAACACGGUGCUGUUUUCUCGAGUGUAUCCUUAGGAAGUGGAUUUUUUCAUUAGGUUUUUUGUUUGUUUUUCACGGUAAAAUGUGUUUUUAGGAGAACUUGGGUAACUUUAAAUAUAUUUUUGUUGAAGUUUUUUGUGUACUGUAGAGGAUGUGGAGUUUUCUUUUAGUGUAAUUUGUAUAUAAUCUGUGGUAGCCAGUAGGAUUGUGUUUUUAGUUUUGGGGUAGUUGUUUUUAGGUGUAUUGUACGUUUGUUUGGUGAAGGUAAAUUGAGGUUUGUGUUGGGCUGUUGGAGGAACAGAGAAAAAUGCUUUGGCCAUGUUAAUACGAGUGUGCAAUUCAGUUUGGAUUUUAGUUUGUAUUGGAGUUUUAAUACAUUUGGUUCUGUGUUGUGUAAUGGUGGAGUUCUUUAAGGAAUGAUAGCUGGUAGUAGUUUAUUUUCUGUAUGUUGGUGUAUAGGUUGAAUGGGGUUGUUGAAGGGCGUGUGGGGUUUGUUGCUUAGUUUUGGGUUUUGAGUUACGGAGUAUUUUGUGGAUGGGACAAGUAUCUUGAGUUGGGUGCUGUUGGUAGUGUCUUGUUGAGGGGGUAAUUGGUAUUUGUUAGGGUUUUUUAAAGUAGCUUUAUUACAGUUGUUUGGUAGUUGAGCUAAGGUGUUGAUUUGUUUUCUCUUGGUUUGGCAGUAGAUAUAUAAAAUGCUUAUUUGAGUUUUGAGGGCUUCUGGAACAUUUGUACUGGAAGAGAUUUAGAGUGUUUAGAAUGCUUCACUUUUUGGGUUUGUUAUAAUGGGAUUUAAAUACUUCUCUAGCUACUUUGUUAGGUUUUAUUACAGUUAAAUAUUGUGCUUCCUUGAUUUUGAUAUUAACAGAUAUGGGAUUAGUUUUUCUAUGUCGUGAUGGCUUUAGUGUGUGCUGUGUAUGAGUGUUGACAAAGGUUUUAUUGUUUCGGGUGUCCCUUUGUGCAAAGUCCAGUGGUGAAGGAGGAUUGAGUGAGUGACAAGUGGGGUCUGGCAUGAAAAUGGUUCUGUUAAAAUGGAGCAAAGACUGCAAUAAGAAAAAUGAGCAUUCAUUUUAAUGUCUGAAAGGGUUAGGAACAAAAAUGCUGGAGAGGGGCACUUUUAUAUUUGAAUUGGUGUCACCUGUCUUGGAUCAAGCCCCACAGCGAGCAGUCCAGAUCAGAAGUGUGAAAGCUGGGAUCCUUUGACUUCUGCAGGGGACUUCAUUUUCUUU
Cinclus cinclus is the source of this 5678-nucleotide RNA transcript. RefSeq lists it as uncharacterized. The transcript is spliced from 3 exons. Lineage: Eukaryota; Metazoa; Chordata; Aves; Passeriformes; Cinclidae. The record is from RefSeq and is a predicted model, not a curated record.